Long non-coding RNA from Manihot esculenta (cassava), 770 nucleotides. RefSeq lists it as uncharacterized. NCBI's taxonomy places the organism in Eukaryota, Viridiplantae, Streptophyta, Magnoliopsida, Malpighiales, Euphorbiaceae. The record is from RefSeq and is a predicted model, not a curated record. The transcript has 2 exons.
UAAAAUUAAUGUGAAUUGCAUUUAAUAAUAAUAAUAUAGCACGUCAUUUCCGUUUUCGUCUAGCUCUCGUUUUUCUGUUUUCUUUUUUACUGAGAGAAUCGCUCUUUCACGUAUGUCGUCUCAUCGGCUUCCUUCUGGCCCGUCUGGGCAGAGGAGAGCCUCCCUCCUUUCUGUCCGGAGGUGGUUUGCCCUUCCCUACCUUCAAGUGGUGGAAAGAGCUUAAGAACAGAGCCUGAAUUUAUGAGUUCCACGUGCUCGUGAAGGAGGAAGGCGACUCUUCUUUGUAGAUGCUCAUUACCUUCUUUUUCUGGUUCCUUGGUUUCAUCUGCAUGUGCGUCAGUAUGGCUCUAGAUCUGUUGUUUCACCGUGUGGAGGUUUAGACAAAUUUUAGUUUAAAUACAGCUCGUUUUUGGAUCCGUGUGCCGAUCCUUAGGCAGGAUUAUUGAACCUCAAGGCUUUCUAUAAUGGCUCUUGAGCUCUGACCAGCAUCCAUUCCGGCAGUUCAGAUGUCUCAUUGGCUGUUCUUUUUGUUCUCUGGCUAAACAGCUCAAAUAUGUUUGAGAUUGGAGGUUCUCUUGAUUGCCUGUGCUCUAUUUUAGCUUUAUUUGCUUUUUCAGCGACCAUUGCAGUCCGUUCCUGGUGGCAUUAAUGGCAGCGGCGACUUUUUCUUCAAUCCCCAGCUUAGGAGUAUAGGGUUUUUAGUUUUCUGAUUGUACUAAAUAAUAUUUCUUUCCUAUUUUAAUAGAAUAAUUUUUAAAAAAUUAUAUUCC